RNAcentral lists this ribosomal RNA (465 nucleotides) under uncultured bacterium. Its description in RNAcentral is "partial 16S ribosomal RNA". It matches the Rfam family "Bacterial small subunit ribosomal RNA", at positions 28 to 507 of the family's 1533-position model. The record is from RNAcentral.
GACGAACGCUGGCGGCGUGCUUAACACAUGCAAGUCGAACGGAAAGGCCCUGCUUGCAGGGUAGUCUAGUGGCGCACGGGUGAGUAACACGUGGGUGAUCUGCGCUGCACUUGGGGAUAAGCCUGGGAAACUGGGGCUAAUACCGGACAGGUGCCAGUUUGAGUGUGAUGGUUGGAAAGGUUUUUCGGUGUGGGAUGAGAUCGCGGUCUAUUAGCUUGUUGGUGGGGUAAUGGCCUACCAAGGCGGCGACGGGUAGCCGGCCGGAGAGGGUGGACGGCCACAUUGGGACAGAGAUACGGCCCAGGCACCUGCGGGGGGCAGCGGUGGGGAAUAGUGCACAAGAGGCGGCAGCGUGAUGCAGCGACGCCGCGUGGGGGGUGACUGCCUUCGGGUUGUAAACGCGUUUCGCAAGUGACGAAGCUUUUUGUGACGGUACCUAGAUAAGAAGCACCGGCUAACUACGUG